GGACGAUCCAUACAUGUCUUCCUCAUAACCAUUGGUUGCUUUGGAGUAGUUCUUCCAUUUGGUCCUCUCAUUCUCUAAUCCAGCCACUGGAUAGGCGCCGGCAUACUCCACAUGAGACCUCAGGCUUCCACGGCUACCCACUGACAUGCGCUCAUCUUCAUCCGAAGCCGAGGCAUUUCUUCGGGCUCUACGUGAAUAGCGCUCACUGUCUUCCAUCCAUUGCUCGAUGUCGCCCCAUUUAGUAUCCAGACCAUAAUAUUUCUUCUGAACUUGAUAGAUCUCUUUCUGCUGCCGUUCGAGUUCCUUCAUCCGGAUCUCCCGUGCCUCUGCCCGUGCUGCUCGCUUUGCCGCCAGCCUCGCUUCAGCCUCACGGGCGAUCUGGUUGAGCGCGUCGUCCUCCGCCGUCAGGCGUUCCCGGUUCGGCAGCCGCUUCCUGCCCGCUCCCUGCGUCCCCAUGGCGGAUGGAUGGGAUGCGGUCGAACCCGGCUCCGCGUUCCCCGCGCCUCACGGCUCCCGCCCGCCGCCUCACCCGCUCGCCGGCGCCGGCCCUGAGGAGCCCAACCG
RNAcentral lists this long non-coding RNA (564 nucleotides) under Gallus gallus (chicken). The record is from RNAcentral. Lineage: Eukaryota; Metazoa; Chordata; Aves; Galliformes; Phasianidae.